RNAcentral lists this small nuclear RNA (197 nucleotides) under Leersia perrieri. RNAcentral describes it as "snRNA U2". It matches the Rfam family "U2 spliceosomal RNA". Rfam says of the family: U2 is a small nuclear RNA (snRNA) component of the spliceosome (involved in pre-mRNA splicing). Complementary binding between U2 snRNA (in an area lying towards the 5' end but 3' to hairpin I) and the branchpoint sequence (BPS) of the intron results the bulging out of an unpaired adenosine, on the BPS, which initiates a nucleophilic attack at the intronic 5' splice site, thus starting the first of two transesterification reactions that mediate splicing. Lineage: Eukaryota; Viridiplantae; Streptophyta; Magnoliopsida; Poales; Poaceae. The record is from Rfam by way of RNAcentral.
AUACCUUUCUCGGCCUUUUGGCUAAGAUCAAGUGUAGUAUCUGUUCUUAUCAGUUUAAUAUCUGAUAUAUGAGGCAUAGCCUCAUGUGAUAUUAAAUUUAUUUUUCGUGGGGAAGAGUCCAUAAUAGUGGCUUGCUACUAGGGCUCUUUUGUGUUGCCUUUGGUUUUGCACUACCGCCAAGGCUAGGCACACCCCAA